AACGAACGCUGGCGACAUGCCUAACACAUGCAAGUCGAACGAGUUCUUCGGGUCUAGUGGCGCACGGGUGCGUAACGCGUGGGAAUCUGCCCUUUGGCUCGGAAUAACCGUUGGAAACGACUGCUAAUACCGGAUGAUGACGAAAGUCCAAAGAGUUACGGCCAGAGGAUGAGCCCGCGUAGGAUUAUCUAGUUGGUGUGGUAAAGGCGCACCAAGGCGACGAUCCUUACCUGUUCUGAGAGGACGAUCAGCCACACUGGGACUGAGACACGGCCCAGACUCCGACGGGAGGCAGCAGUGGGGAAUAUUGGACAAUGGGCGAAAGCCUGAUCCAGCAAUGCCGCGUGAGUGAUGAAGGCCUUAGGGUUGUAAAGCUCUUUUACCCGGGAUGAUAAUGACAGUACCGGGAGAAUAAGCUCCGGCUAACUCCGUGCCAGCCGCCGCUGUAA
RNAcentral lists this ribosomal RNA (449 nucleotides) under uncultured bacterium. RNAcentral's name for it is "partial 16S ribosomal RNA". It matches the Rfam family "Bacterial small subunit ribosomal RNA", at positions 29 to 523 of the family's 1533-position model. The record is from RNAcentral.